Molecule: transfer RNA, 363 nt
Filed under: Microcystis aeruginosa MP06A8
Lineage: Bacteria; Bacillati; Cyanobacteriota; Cyanophyceae; Chroococcales; Microcystaceae
Description: partial 16S-23S ribosomal RNA intergenic spacer
Rfam family: tRNA (bases 135-208)
Source: RNAcentral
AAGGGAGACCUAAUUCAGGUAUGGGACGAAAAAAAAGUAGUCGCUACCAAGAAUCAAUCCCAAAAGGUCGGAGCGAGGCAAAAUUGGCUUUCAAACUAGGUUCUGGGUUCACACAAGACCUGAAUCAGGAACAAGGGCUAUUAGCUCAGGUGGUUAGAGCGCACCCCUGAUAAGGGUGAGGUCCCUGGUUCGAGUCCAGGAUGGCCCACCUGUACAGGUGGCAAAAAGAAAGAAAAGAAGCGAGGAAUCAGCACCUUAUCUUACUUAUAUAGUAAGAGAGAAUGCUGGCUCUGAGUUCAGAGUCCAGAGGAACCUUGAAAACUGCAUAGAGCUAGGUGAAAAAGCCAAAAAAGAAGACCGCAA